AUUCCUUAAUAGAAUGAACUGGGGAGAUUUCACUACUUUUCUACUUUAUGAAGCAAGUUGUUCCAGAUAUUUUUGAAAUUUCAAAAAACAGGGGGGAGAGGUUUAAACCUUUUUAUUGAAAAUUUAGAUGACUGGUUAAAGCCCAGAAGGUGGGAAGAGUUAAUUUCAGCAGGUAUGGUGAGAAGAGAAGACAGUCCAGCUCAGCCAGGACAGGCUGUGAGAUGCUCCCUCUCCAGCUUGGCCAGUCUCCCCGGACGUUGUAGGUUUCUAUCAAACUAGAAUCCAAAGCCUGUCAAGUAGCAAGAUGGUUAUUUGGCUAAUUGAUGGUCUACAAAAGAGCUGAGAGGCAGAGACAGGCAUUCUAAAAUAGGAGAACUUUCCAACUAAUCCACGUAAAUCCAUGGAGCAAUUGAAGUGUAAUUAUAUUUUUUAUUGCAAUAUUUAUGGGGAUCUUUUAUUCUUCAGUAGAGUUCCGUUUAAGUUCAAAUGACAAACAGUUGGGGGAAUAGUAAAUGUUCUAACUAAUUAAAUGAUACAACUAAUUCUAAUUAUGCAAUUGACAUCCGUUGGGCUACAGAAGAUGUAGCUGAGUUACAAACCAACCACCAACAAUGCUGAUGCCGUUUCUGAUUUCCUUAAUAGAGCUGGACUAUUUGUAAAAAGAAAGAGAAUAUCAAUAAUAAUAAAUGACCUGAGUGAAAACUAGCUCUGAAAAUC
This 717-nucleotide long non-coding RNA is filed under the name Bos indicus x Bos taurus (hybrid cattle). RNAcentral describes it as "lncRNA (ENSBIXG00000010755.1)". The record is from RNAcentral. Lineage: Eukaryota; Metazoa; Chordata; Mammalia; Artiodactyla; Bovidae.